Long non-coding RNA from Monopterus albus (swamp eel), 246 nucleotides. RefSeq lists it as uncharacterized. The transcript is spliced from 3 exons. The record is from RefSeq and is a predicted model, not a curated record. Lineage: Eukaryota; Metazoa; Chordata; Actinopteri; Synbranchiformes; Synbranchidae.
GUCUUUAACUUUGCUUAUCUUCUAGAACGCACUACAAUUUCUUAGAUUUAUCUUUGAGAUCAAGAGCUUGAAAGUGGCUGAAAUGGAUGAACAAAGUGUCGAGAGCAUUGCUGAGGUGUUUCGCUGCUUCAUCUGCAUGGAGAAACUGAGAGAUGCUCGUCUCUGCCCACACUGCUCCAAACUCUGCUGCUUCAGCUGCAUACGACGAUGGCUGACGGAGCAGAGAGCCCAGUGUCCUCACUGUCC